This 253-nucleotide ribosomal RNA is filed under the name uncultured prokaryote. Its description in RNAcentral is "partial 16S ribosomal RNA". It matches the Rfam family "Bacterial small subunit ribosomal RNA", at positions 525 to 777 of the family's 1533-position model. The record is from RNAcentral.
ACGUAGGGUGCGAGCGUUAAUCGGAAUUACUGGGCGUAAAGCGUGCGCAGGCGGUUCGGAAAGAAAGAUGUGAAAUCCCAGGGCUUAACCUUGGAACUGCAUUUUUAACUACCGGGCUAGAGUGUGUCAGAGGGGGGUGGAAUUCCGCGUGUAGCAGUGAAAUGCGUAGAGAUGCGGAGGAACACCGAUGGCGAAGGCAGCCCCCUGGGUCGACACUGACGCUCAGGCACGAAAGCGUGGGGAGCAAACAGGA